AGAAAAAUACUUAACACCAACAAAUCAUCCAACGCGUUAUGAUACAGGCCAGCACUCUUAUUUUCAUUACUUGAUUAAAAACAGUCAUCUUCUCCGGCCCAGAACCAGGCGUCAUCAGAGGCUCAACCCCGUCAGCCUUGAAAACUGGCAGCUGGAUCCAGAGGCCUGAUCAGACCUUGGCUGAACCCUUUUGGCAAAACCAAAGAAAGAAAGAAAGAAAGAAAGAAAGAAAGGAAGGAAGGAAGGAAGAAAGGAAAAAAAAUCAAAUAAACAUUCCUGAAUCCUGAGGCAAGAAGGAAAGUCCCCAUCUCACACUGCUUAGACUGCCCCCGCCCCGCCCCACCCCCCAGUAUUCAUUUUUUAAGUUAUUUAAACGAGGGCAGCCACCUCUUUGCCAGAACAUUACCAAACCAAAAGAAACUAGAAAAUCACCACAGCAACACCUCUGGGCCAGAAAGAGGGAC
Molecule: long non-coding RNA, 464 nt
Organism: Alexandromys fortis (reed vole)
Lineage: Eukaryota; Metazoa; Chordata; Mammalia; Rodentia; Cricetidae
Exons: 3
Source: RefSeq, a predicted model, not a curated record